Molecule: ribosomal RNA, 484 nt
Filed under: uncultured bacterium
Lineage: Bacteria
Description: partial 16S ribosomal RNA
Rfam family: Bacterial small subunit ribosomal RNA
Source: RNAcentral
AUUGAACGCUGGCGGCAGGCCUAACACAUGCAAGUCGAGCGGAUGAAGGGAGCUUGCUCCUGGAUUCAGCGGCGGACGGGUGAGUAAUGCCUAGGAAUCUGCCUGGUAGUGGGGGAUAACGUCCGGAAACGGGCGCUAAUACCGCAUACGUCCUGAGGGAGAAAGUGGGGGAUCUUCGUACCUCACGCUAUCAGAUGAGCCUAGGUCGGAUUAGCUAGUUGGUGGGGUAAAGGCCUACCAAGGCAACGAACCGUAACUGGACUGAGAGGAUGAUCAGUCACACUGGAACUGAGACACGGUCCAGACUCCUACGGGAGGCAACAGUGGGGAAUAUUGGACAAUGGGCGAAAGCCUGAUCCAGCCAUGCCGCGUGUGUGAAGAAGGUCUUCGGAUUGUAAAGCACUUUAAGUUGGGAGGAAGGGCAGUAAGUGAAUACCUUGCUGUUUUGACGUUACCAACAGAAUAAGCACCGGCUAACUUCGUG